This 433-nucleotide ribosomal RNA is filed under the name uncultured bacterium. RNAcentral's name for it is "partial 16S ribosomal RNA". It matches the Rfam family "Bacterial small subunit ribosomal RNA", at positions 28 to 507 of the family's 1533-position model. The record is from RNAcentral.
AACGAACGCUGGCGGCGUGCUUAACACAUGCAAGUCGAACGAGACCGUCGGGUCUAUUGGCGCAGGGGUGCGUAACGCGUGGGAACCUGCCCCUAGGGUCGGAAUAACUCCCCGACAGGGGUGCUAAUAGCGGGGAAGGUCUUCAGGGCAAAGAUUGAUGGGCUUUGGUUGGGCGCGCGUGGGAUUAGCUAGGUGGUAGGGUAAUAGGCUCCCAAGGGGCCGAUCCACAGCUAGUUUGAGAGGAGGGUCAGCGACAAGGGGACUGAGACACGGCGCAGACUGCUACGGGAGGCAGCGGUGGGGAGUAUGGGGCAGUGGGCGAAAGUGUGAUACAGCGAUGUCGGGUGAGUGAUGAAGGCCUUAGGGUUGUAAAGCUCUUUUACCCGGGAUGAUAAUGACGGUACCGGGAGAAUAAGCGCCGGCUAACUACGUG